UUUGCAGUAUUGUGGCAGUGCCCAAAAUGUGCUAGGGUUCUGUCUGUAGGAAGAGGCCGUCCCUGCCUCAGAGAGCUUACAAUUGAAACAGAUGAAAAAACAGGCCCAGCGUGGCAGAGAAGGAUGCCGUGAACUAGUGUUUGCAGUAGAAAAUUUCAUCACUAGUUAAAUGAGCCAGGAAAGAACCUCUCAAGCCCCAAACACUCAACAAACCUGGUGGUUGUGGCGUUGUAUGACUUCCAGAAAGACAGUGGGUCUAUCCUGAACGGGUUUAGUGAAGAUCUGAAGCAGAUUUCAGCUUCUCUCGCAGUUGCUGGUAGUAAGUGGCUGGAACCCUGAUAAACUCCAUGCCCCGUUGUUUCAGUUGGCGACCACAAUGGAACGCAGGGCACUGAACUGUGUGUGCAGUUGUUUAUCAUCCACAGACCAGAACCGAUGAAACAAAAGGUUCUUCUGGUACCUGACCGGGAACAGAAAAGGCUGAUUUCAUUCCCCCUUAAACCAACUCAUAGCUUCUGAGAACUGUGGACUUCAGCGCUGGGCAUGAGCCGUUGAAUGCCUGCAGAUUCACAGGACAACACAUCCUUUCCACCACGUCAUCUCACCUCUUGAAAUUAAUGGGCAGUGCAUCAUCUUCUGGCUGAGCUGAAUUGGACCCACUCAAAAUAACUUUCAUUUACACUCACUCUGCCUUUCACUGCUGUAACUGUGCUAACUUCAGGCUUCCUGCAUGACUUCAGGCAACUCCCUUAGUGUUUGUCUACACAGUGCAGCAGAGCAUGCCAGAGGGGUGUGAUUUGUAAAGCGCACUAAAGUGUUGCACUCUAC
Long non-coding RNA from Mauremys reevesii (Reeves's turtle), 828 nucleotides. RefSeq lists it as uncharacterized. The record is from RefSeq and is a predicted model, not a curated record. The transcript has 5 exons. Lineage: Eukaryota; Metazoa; Chordata; Testudines; Geoemydidae.